Molecule: long non-coding RNA, 866 nt
Organism: Beta vulgaris subsp. vulgaris (sugar beet)
Lineage: Eukaryota; Viridiplantae; Streptophyta; Magnoliopsida; Caryophyllales; Amaranthaceae
Exons: 2
Source: RefSeq, a predicted model, not a curated record
CAUAACACAUCAUGACUCAUCAAGAUGGAUGAAUUAGAAAACAACUUUAAGGAACCAAAUGAAAAUGCUGGUUUUGGACAAUUGUCAAACUACACGCACCAAAAUAGAAAGACAAAGAAAAUAAGAAAAUGAGGGCAACAUCAGUCCACGGGAGACAUCAAAGGAGUGGGCUUUGAUUAAAAACACCCACAUAGAACCAUAAAAUAAAAGAGGAGGCACGAAUAGCAAACAGGGGAACGGUAGCACGCAGCAGGACAGUAGUUCGACGACGCAGCAGACGCAAGGGGGGUUCGACGAAGGCAGAGCACGAAACCGGACGACGGAGUACUGAACCUGCAAUCGGAUUUUUCGACCAUGGCUGCUUAUAAUUGGGUUGACAUUGACGCAAGGACGCGAUGACACGAUGACAUGACGAUGUAUGGCACAGUGGCGAAGAAAUUCAGACCCGAAGACGUAGCAGGCAACGUGGAAUUUGAAGCUAGAGCAUUAAAUAAGUAACGGUCCGACUUAAUAAGGGAAGAGUUUAACAAGCCAUAAAUUCAGCCGUUGAGGAGCGUGAGUCGAGACGUUGGCGCAUAAGUGAAGGAGAUCGCCGUGAUUUAAGCAUGAAAAUCAAUGUAAUAAUGAGUAGAUUUAUUAUUGUAUUCGCUGGGAAAUAGCGGAAGAAAAGAGAAGGCAUAUAAAAGAGAGAGAGAGGUCAUUUUCAUGUUUUUUAUGCAACAUUGUGAGAACGACACUAGGGUGAACUAAGCAUUCUUGUAAACGACACUCAGUCACGAAGAAAGAUAGUAGACAAUAUUAGUUUGGUGGAUCUCCAACCACCCGCGGUUUUUUACCCAUCUUCAUUGGGGUUUUUCGCGUCACUA